AGGUACAGUGGGCACACUGUCCAGGUGAGAUUAGUGGUGGCUGGGCUCAGACAGGGUGUGUGCAGGUAGAGUGGGCACACUGUCCAGGUGAGAUUAGUGGUGUCUGGGCUCAGACAGGGUGUGUGCAGGUAGUGUGGGCACACUGUCCAGGUGAG
Long non-coding RNA from Erinaceus europaeus (western European hedgehog), 155 nucleotides. RefSeq lists it as uncharacterized. The record is from RefSeq and is a predicted model, not a curated record. Lineage: Eukaryota; Metazoa; Chordata; Mammalia; Eulipotyphla; Erinaceidae. The transcript is spliced from 3 exons.